Molecule: long non-coding RNA, 492 nt
Filed under: Bos taurus (domestic cattle)
Lineage: Eukaryota; Metazoa; Chordata; Mammalia; Artiodactyla; Bovidae
Description: long non-coding RNA NONBTAT017272
Source: RNAcentral
AUGGCAAUAAAGCAUGCCAUGGAUUAAUAUACCUCUGUCACCUCGCUAUGAGGUAAGGAAGUAAUUUUUCCUCUCUUCUGAAUCAGUCUGCUCAGACAGGACGUUGUUUCUCUUUUAUCUGGUGACCUUGCCCAGAAGCAGCCCUGUAAGAGUGGUAUGUGGCAAGUUUUGGUGUGUUUAGUGUAGAUCAUAAAAUGAGGCGAUUGCUAGGUGCUGAUGAUAGUUUUAUAGUUGUCGAGAGAGAGGAGUUAUUACAUUUUUGACCUUCUAGGUUUUAUUUACUUUGUAAACCUGUGGGAGGGUUGGGGGAGUCCUCACAGUUGUACCAAAUAUUCAUUUCUGCUUUAUUUAAGUUUUUCUAUUUUUGUAGUUAUAUGUAGAUAUAAAAGCAUAUUUAAAAUAUUAAUAACAUAAAGCUAUGUUGCACAAGUUCGUCAUUUUUAGUCUUAAUGGUUACAUAAUAUUCCAUCAAAUGAUGUAUCAUUUGCUUAG